Molecule: ribosomal RNA, 253 nt
Filed under: uncultured bacterium
Lineage: Bacteria
Description: partial 16S ribosomal RNA
Rfam family: Bacterial small subunit ribosomal RNA
Source: RNAcentral
UACGGGGGGGGCAAGCGUUGUUCGGAAUUACUGGGCGUAAAGGGCUCGUAGGCGGCCAACUAAGUCAGACGUGAAAUCCCCAGGCUUAACCUGGGAACUGCAUCUGAUACUGGAUGGCUUGAAUCCGGGAGAGGGAUGCAGAAUUCCAGGUGUAGCGGUGAAAUGCGUAGAUAUCUGGAGGAAUACCGGUGGCGAAGGCGGCAUCCUGGACCGGCAUUGACGCUGAGGAGCGAAAGCUAGGGGAGCAAACGGG